This 425-nucleotide RNase P RNA is filed under the name Pseudomonadota bacterium. RNAcentral's name for it is "Proteobacteria bacterium RNase P RNA component class A". It matches the Rfam family "Bacterial RNase P class A". Rfam says of the family: Ribonuclease P (RNase P) is a ubiquitous endoribonuclease, found in archaea, bacteria and eukarya as well as chloroplasts and mitochondria. Its best characterised activity is the generation of mature 5'-ends of tRNAs by cleaving the 5'-leader elements of precursor-tRNAs. Cellular RNase Ps are ribonucleoproteins. The record is from RNAcentral. Lineage: Bacteria; Pseudomonadati; Pseudomonadota.
GAAGUGUAGCGGGCUAUCGCUUAACUUUUCAAGAACACAGUUGUUGAGAUAUGUUAGGAGGAAAGUCUGGACUUCAUAUGGCAGGAUACUGGCUAAAGGCCAGGCGAGGUAACUCGACGGAAAGUGCAACAGAAAGUAAACCGCCUAAGCAAUACAUUUUGUGUAUAAGCCGGCAAGGCUGAAACGGUGAGGUAAGAGCUCACCAGCGAUAUGGUGACAUAUUGGCUCGGUAAACCCUAUCUGAAGCAAGAUCAAACAAAGGCAUAUUCUAAAGAAUAAGCACCGGCCAGGUGUGGCCUUGGGUAGAUCGCAUGAGGGUGCAGGUAACUGUACUCCAAGAUAAAUGAUAGCCUCCACUUUUAUGCUAUGUGUAAACAUGGGUAUAAAAGUGAAGACAGAAUCCAGCUUACAGCUAAACUUGCAAA